Molecule: ribosomal RNA, 464 nt
Filed under: Vreelandella stevensii
Lineage: Bacteria; Pseudomonadati; Pseudomonadota; Gammaproteobacteria; Oceanospirillales; Halomonadaceae
Description: partial 16S ribosomal RNA
Rfam family: Bacterial small subunit ribosomal RNA
Source: RNAcentral
CUACGGGUGGCAGCAGUGGGGAAUAUUGGACAAUGGGCGAAAGCCUGAUCCAGCCAUGCCGCGUGUGUGAAGAAGGCCUUCGGGUUGUAAAGCACUUUCAGUGGGGAAGAAAGCCUUGGGGCUAAUACCCUCGAGGAAGGACAUCACCCACAGAAGAAGCACCGGCUAACUCCGUGCCAGCAGCCGCGGUAAUACGGAGGGUGCGAGCGUUAAUCGGAAUUACUGGGCGUAAAGCGCGCGUAGGCGGUCUGAUAAGCCGGUUGUGAAAGCCCCGGGCUCAACCUGGGAACGGCAUCCGGAACUGUCAGGCUAGAGUGCAGGAGAGGAAGGUAGAAUUCCCGGUGUAGCGGUGAAAUGCGUAGAGAUCGGGAGGAAUACCAGUGGCGAAGGCGGUCUUCUGGACUGACACUGACGCUGAGGUGCGAAAGCGUGGGUAGCAAACAGGAUUAGAUACCCGGGUAGUC